Molecule: long non-coding RNA, 963 nt
Filed under: Oreochromis niloticus (Nile tilapia)
Lineage: Eukaryota; Metazoa; Chordata; Actinopteri; Cichliformes; Cichlidae
Description: lncRNA (ENSONIG00000029333.1)
Source: RNAcentral
AGACCAGACAAACAUCACAGCUGAGUCUGGGCAGAACAUCUCGCUGCCAUGUGGAGCUCCAACUAAUAAUAAUCAGGUCUUGGCUGUUCAGUGGAGCAGAGCUGACCUGAAGCAAGAAUAUGUGCUUUUGUACAGAGAUGAGGUUUUUGUUCCAGACAACCAGCAUCCAGCUUUUAAGAACUGGAUGGAUCUGCAGGACAGACAGAUGAAGGAUGUGUCGCGUCUUCAGGAGAGGAACAAACCACAUGAUUAGAACCAUCAGCCUGAGUGUUGUUUCUCCAUGUGAGUCAGCAGAGGUGUAGGUGAAGCCUCUGCAGUAUCUCAAAGCUGUGGACACAGAUGGAUUCUCUCAAGUUCCUCCUGAUUUCAUCCCUAAUUUCUGCAUCUACAUCUCUGCAGCAGGAUGUUCAGGUGAAGCUUGGAGCUGACGUCACUCUCCAGUGUCAGAUUACCACAGAUGAAAUAAUCUCAGUGCUGAAGUGGAGCAGAGCUGACCUGAACACAGACGGCUAUGUCUACUUCUACAGGAACAAACGCUCCUAUGAAAACUACCAACAUCCAUCUUUUCAUGGCCGAGUAAAGCUGAGGGACCCAGAGAUGAAGGAUGGAGACGUUUCUCUGAUCCUGAAGAACGUCACGUUUAAUGACACUGGGAUGUAUGAGUGUCACGUAGCAGUGAGGAAGUCUGGGAGAAGUAAAAGAGCUCACACUGAGAUCAGUCACUUCAUCAACCUCACAGUCACAGGUGAAACGCAUGAAAACAUUAAACUGGUGAAAACAGGAGAUGAAAACAUGGAGGAGGUGGUAGAAGUGGAGACUAGGACUGAUCAGAUGGUUGUUCCUGCUGUGUCUGCAUCUGCUGCGUCCGCUGUCAUUGUUACUACAGCUGGAUUUGUGGCAAUGUGGAGAUUUAAAAGAAAGAAACAGGAGCCCACGGAGGCAGAUAACCAGCAGCUGGUCUGA